This 253-nucleotide ribosomal RNA is filed under the name uncultured bacterium. RNAcentral's name for it is "partial 16S ribosomal RNA". It matches the Rfam family "Bacterial small subunit ribosomal RNA", at positions 524 to 776 of the family's 1533-position model. The record is from RNAcentral.
UACGUAGGGUGCAAGCGUUGUCCGGAAUUAUUGGGCGUAAAGAGCUCGUAGGCGGUUUGUCGCGUCGAAUGUGAAAACCCGGGGCUCAACCCCGGGCCUGCAUUCGAUACGGGCAGACUAGAGUUCGGUAGGGGGGUCUGGAAUUCCUGGUGUAGCGGUGAAAUGCGUAGAUAUCGGGAGGAACACCAGUGGCGAAGGCGACUUCCUGGCCUGUUCUUGACGCUGAGGCGCGAAAGCUAGGGGAGCAAACGGG